GACAGAGGUCCCGAGCGUUAGGCGGAAUCACUGGGCUUAAAGCGUGUGUAGGCGGACUUCUAAGUGCCUUGUGAAAUCCCACGGCUCAACCGUGGAACUGCUGGGCAUACUGGGAGUCUUGGGCCAUUCAGGGGCAACUGGAACAAGCGGUGGAGCGGUGAAAUGCGUAGAUAUCGCUUGGAACGCCGAAGGUGAAAACAGGUUGCUGGGGAUGUGCCGACGCUGAGACACGAAAGCCAGGGGAGCAAACGGG
This 253-nucleotide ribosomal RNA is filed under the name uncultured bacterium. RNAcentral describes it as "partial 16S ribosomal RNA". It matches the Rfam family "Bacterial small subunit ribosomal RNA", at positions 524 to 776 of the family's 1533-position model. The record is from RNAcentral.